AUCUCUGUCCCUCUAACUCUGUUCUGUCUCUCUCUCUCUGGCCCUCUAACUCUGUUCUACCUCUUCACAGAUGCUGAGUCCUCUGUUUCUGCACUGAGAUGGCUGUUACAUGUAACUGUGUUUCAUACAUUCACAGAUGCUGAGUCCUCUGUUUCUGCACUGAGAUGGCUGUUACAUGUAACUUUGACUCCAUUCAAAUAAAUCCUAAGAGUUACAGAACACGUACAAGACAUGGAUGUACUGUGUGUGAGUUUAUGUGUUUGUGUGUGUCUGGUUUGGAUGAUGGGUACUGAUGGUGUUUGUUGUUGUCUCAUGUGUUUCCAUAGUUACGGACCAGUAUAUGCUGCGGACCCCUACAACCACCCACUUGCUCCAGCAGCCACAUACAGCAUUGGUGCCAUGAAUCCGUUUGCCCCGUUGGCUGAUGCCAAGACGAGGAGUCAUGCUGACGACGUGGGGCUGGUGUUGUCCUCCCUGCAGGCUAGUAUAUACAGGGGAGGUUACAGCCGCUUCGCCCCAUACUAACCCACCAACCAACCUCCCUAAAACCAUACAACAACCAAUUACUACCCUACCAACCAACCAACCAACCUCCCCACAACCAAACAACAUCCAAUCCUUUCUGACAGGGACACAACCGAGCAACCAACCAACCUCCCCACAACCAAACAACAUCCAA
Long non-coding RNA from Oncorhynchus tshawytscha (Chinook salmon), 679 nucleotides. RefSeq lists it as uncharacterized. NCBI's taxonomy places the organism in Eukaryota, Metazoa, Chordata, Actinopteri, Salmoniformes, Salmonidae. The transcript is spliced from 2 exons. The record is from RefSeq and is a predicted model, not a curated record.